This is a long non-coding RNA of Oncorhynchus keta (chum salmon), 2369 nucleotides long. RefSeq lists it as uncharacterized. The record is from RefSeq and is a predicted model, not a curated record. NCBI's taxonomy places the organism in Eukaryota, Metazoa, Chordata, Actinopteri, Salmoniformes, Salmonidae. The transcript has 3 exons.
AACAGUGCAUUACUGAUCAUAUUCAAUCCAGGUUGGGUGUUCUGUUUUAUGUCUGCAAGCAACACCUGAACUCAAUUAUUAGCCUUUAGCCUAACUAAUAUGUUAUUAACCAUUGUGAUGUCUUAAGGGUAAAAAAAUGACCAGCCACUAUGUUUCUGACCCGGCAGUUAUACAAUCCUUUACACACCACAAAAACCACCAAGAUGCAAUGAGAAAUUGAGAUUAUGUGCGACUGAUUGAACUAAAUAUGAGUGCACGUUUCAGUGCCCAACAGGUCGUAGAUCUGAAUUUUUCAGAUGUCCAGGAGGAAUAAGAGAACAAUGAUUUAGAAGAGGUGGUAUCUGAAGAAGAAGAUAGGGAAGAAUACAACCCAGAGCAUGAUGCAUCAUCUUUAGAUGAAGAAAUCCCCCAAACUGAAAGAUACAAUUUUGUCAAAGAGCAGCAAAAUAACAUGGUUGGUGUCCACUGAUUGUGAAGAAGGAAAGCCCAUAUAUAUUCAAAGUUUGUAAUGAAUGACAGGUUGUUUCUUUGUGCAAAAUAUAUAUGGGGUUUAAAAUUAAAUUAAGCUGCUUUAUUUUAGGGGCUUAGUGAAGGCAGGUCAUGUUUUACCCUUAGGUCAAGGGGAGUAUACAGAAUGUUAAGGCUACACAAGGGUUAACAUAACCUAAAUGUAGCAUAGCCACCCCACCAUACACAUAGAGCUGAUGCAUCUAAAUAGCAUCUUUAUUUGGAGACCGAUUGAGAAUGUGUUGUAUUACCCCAUGUAUAAAUGCUGGCAAAUCCUCAAAUGGGAACGAUGUAAAAAUAUUUGAUUUAAAUCAUGUUGUAAACAUUGCCCUCUACUGAUGGAAAUUAGUAUCUUCAUGUGUUCCUGGGAUUUGGUCAGACAGGAUAUUUGAACUUUCAGACAAAAUGGCAGUAGGUAAUUGUAAUUUUGUCUACGCUGGUGCUCCUAAAAGGUAGAGAAUGUAUGUAUAUGUAACAAAAAAUCUGUAAAAACAAAAAAAGCAAUGUUUGUUUUCCAAAGAGGGUUGAUGGGUUAUUAAAAAAAUACACUACUGACUUUUCGUCCUCAUGCUAGCUAGCAGUAGCCACCGCAGCCAAUUUGGAAUAGCAUUGUCAUUUCAGUGGACAUGCCAUUCCAUAAUGGCUGCUGUGACUACUGCUAUUUAGCAUGAGCACGAAAAUGACUUUUCUGGGAAAACUAGCAGAAUUUCCAACUUCUCGGUGGAGCCGUGUGGAUAAAGGCUGCUGAAGCACCAUGAUUCUGCCCCGUCAAGCAUUAUAUCCAGUAGUUGGUAGAACAUAUGAACUGUCCCACAGCAUUUCUUCUCUCCCCCGGGCUGUUCAGGAGGACGACCGGUUCCUUCAGAGUGUUUAACCCGGCACCAAAUGAGACACUUGCCAGUCUCACUGAGCUACUGCUGUGGAGCUGAUGGAGCUAAGCGGGUCAGACAAGGCCUCUUCCUGUUAAUUCAGUAGUGCUGCCGCCUGGACCUGAGGGGCAGAUUUAAAUUACAAUGUUCACUAGAUUUCUCUAAAGCACUGGGAGGCAAAAGUUCUGUAGGAUCCCAUCUAUAUUUUCUGUUGAAUAUAGAAAAAGCAGAUGCAGCCAAAAGGUUCAGGAACACCUGGCGACAUUAAAUCCUGCCCUCCUUGGCAGUCCAGUUUGAAUCAUGUUGGAUGCAAAAGUUAGAACUAAGAACCCCUCUGAGACCAGUCCACAGGAAAGACAGGUUUGAAGUGUGUACUGAUCUACAAGCUCUAGAAUAGUUAUGGAAUAGUCGAAGGGUAUUAUGUGACAUAUCAAGUCUCACCAGAUAUCAACUGAGCUCUUAAAAUCAGAAACAGUAAGGGUGGAUACAUCAUAUGACAACACCAUCAAAUGUGCAGAUUAAAAUAUUAAGAAUAUUAUGAUCUGCCUGCCUAUUAAUCUGCCUAUAAUGCCCACCUAUUCAUGAGCCAAUGACACCCCCCUCCCUUCUGCUCUCCCAUCUGUCAUUUCAUUAACUAGCGGCAUUUCAUCAAGCAAGGUAUCAUUUCACUGACAUUUGUGUGGUUCCAAUAACUAUUUUAAUUUCAUCCUUCCAAGCCAUUUGCGUGUUCAGCCACCUGGCUCAUGUAUACACUGGAUUGGCCUUUCAUUAGAGAUUUUCCUCCAUGAUCCCAGCUGUGCCAACAUUCAUGAAAUACAAAGGGGCGGCAGCGUAGCCUAGUGGUUAGAGCGUUGGACUAGUAACCGAAAGGUUGCAAGUUCAAAUCCCCGAGCUGACAAGGUACAAAUCUGUCGUUCUGCUCCUGAACAGGCAGUUAACCCACUGUUCCUAGGCCGUCAUUUAAAAUAAGAAUUUGUUCUUAACUGACUUGCC